This is a long non-coding RNA of Pyrgilauda ruficollis (rufous-necked snowfinch), 1486 nucleotides long. RefSeq lists it as uncharacterized. Lineage: Eukaryota; Metazoa; Chordata; Aves; Passeriformes; Passeridae. The record is from RefSeq and is a predicted model, not a curated record. The transcript has 3 exons.
CUGGCUACAAUUGGCUCUUGGAGACGCAGUCCACUACAGCGGUUCUCUCUUGUCGCCGGGUGGCCGCCAUCUCGACUUCGUCGUUUCUGUGGAGCUAGCGGUGGGUUUCGCCUUCGUAACUCGAUGAGAUUGAGAGAAAUAGUAUUGCCGUCCACUAUGUCAAGCCAUCAGGAUUUGGGAGAUGUGUGGCAAACCUUUCUGGCCGGAGGAACUAUGACUUAAGACACGACCAUAGUUACUAGCUGGGCAGAGCUGCAGAUGUCACACCUCCUUGUGGUCCUGCUGGAAUGCCUUCAUGGUAAUUGAGUUGACUUCUGCCCAGAGACGGUGUUAUAGGUUGCUUCCUCCCUAUCAUCUGGCUGUGCCAACAAUAUCCUGGAUGUGGUGGAAUCCCUGAGAUGGAGUAUCCCUCUUGACAAGGCCUCAGGAUGCAAGGGGAGAAGUGCUAUGACUUCUAUAUCAAGCCUAUCAAGGACUCAUAUACCAUCAGUGACUGUCCACCAGGGACAAUUAAUGGCCUGCCCCUCAAUAUGACUGAUCCUGAUAACUGAGAAAUACCUGGGAUUUUGCAUUGAUCCAUGGGUUGGAAUAUCAAAAACAGACUUACUGUGAAAACUGGAAGAUUGGCUACAUCAGAUUGAAAAGGCUCUUUUAAAACCAUUUCAGAAGGUAGACAUCUUGAAAGGAUAUACUAUCCCCAGAUUGAUCUAUUUGGCAGACCAGGCUGGUGUGAAAGCCAUGGACUUUGAGUCUUGAUUUGGCAAUUAGAUUUGCCAUCAAGAACUGAUUGCAUUUACCUUCAAGUAUAUCUGAUGCCAUCCUUUAUUCCAGCACAAGAGAUGGUGGCCUAGGUAUUACCAGACUGUCAGGACUAAUCCCCAGUAUACAAGCUUGAAGACUGUACAGGAUCACACAGUCUUCAGAAGAAACAAUGAGAGUAAUUAUGAGGGAAGAGGAAAUUUAGAGAGAAUUUGAAAAACUAUGGAUAACAGCAGGUGGUGACAAAGUUCCAUCACUUUGGGACCCAAAAACAGUUAUGGUAAUGAUAGGGAAGAUGUGUGCUAAUGUCUUUACAAAAAAUUUGAUGGGUGAGGGUAUGGGUGUUAACAUCUUUGAAACAGGUCUUAAUGUCUCUACUAACUUCAAGCAGCAGGUUUGUUACAGAGCCCAGACAGCUUGGCUCCUGAAACAGCCAAGUGGGUCUGCACAAGCCUGAACUUCUGAUGUUUGGGGUAAAAUGACAGGUUCAAGGGGGGAUAUGUGGUAGGCGGUUCGGGUAGGUUUCCUAGUACCUCAGUUAAUGGGGAAAGGAAGAGGGCAACAUGCUGCCAGGAGUUUAGGAUAAUGGAGGCAGUGUCCUCCAAAACCUCAAGAGGGAAAACCCUGCAGACAUGUGCCCCAGUGGACUCUCUCUCUUUAUUUGAAUAAAGUUGCAGGGCUCCUCUGUCUCCUUUAUGGAUACUGCUUUUUCAUAGUGUGAUUUUCC